RNAcentral lists this ribosomal RNA (460 nucleotides) under uncultured bacterium. RNAcentral describes it as "partial 16S ribosomal RNA". It matches the Rfam family "Bacterial small subunit ribosomal RNA", at positions 338 to 795 of the family's 1533-position model. The record is from RNAcentral.
CCUACGGGAGGCAGCAGUGAGGAAUAUUGGUCAAUGGACGCAAGUCUGAACCAGCCAUGCCGCGUGCAGGAUGACGGCUCUAUGAGUUGUAAACUGCUUUUGUACGAGGGUAAACCCCGAUACGUGUACCGGGUUGAAAGUAUCGUACGAAUAAGGAUCGGCUAACUCCGUGCCAGCAGCCGCGGUAAUACGGAGGAUCCGAGCGUUAACCGGAUUUAUUGGGUUUAAAGGGUGCGUAGGCGGUUUGAUAAGUUAGGGGUGAAAUGUCGGGGCUCAACCCCGGAACUGCCUCUGAUACUGGUGGACUAGAGGAUAGGAGCGGUAGGCGGAAUGUAUGGUGUAGCGGUGAAAGGCGUAGAGAUCAUACAGAACACCGAUUGCGAAGGCAGCUUACCAAACGAUAACUGACGUUGAGGCACGAAAGCGUGGGUAGCAAACAGGAUUAGAUACCCGGGUAGUC